CACAUUUUUUUUACCCAGACGACGUCGUGCAAACACCCUCCCUCCCCCCAACCAAAAUCCCUCAUCCCCCCAACUUUCCCCAUUCCCUCGUAAGUUCCCCCCAAAUUUCCCCAAUCCUUUAGCUCGUAAGUUCCUAAGUUAGGGUUAAAAAAAUAAGAGAACUGGCCAAGCCUUCUUUCCUGCCCAGCCACGCACCCUCCUCCCCUCUCUCGUCGUGCAAAACCCAGUCGCCGGUCACCAGCUUCGAAGCCCACUAUCCGUUGUCGUCUUGCUCCAACCCGUGAAGCUGGGCAUCAGCUUCGCUUUGCCCACCAUCCGUCAUUGGCGUCCGUUGGGUCUUCCUGGAGCUUGUCUCGGAGCCUCAAACCCGUCGCCAUUCGUGUCAUCGUUGUGGAAGCCUCAAAGCUCUCCCCAAAUCUGCAAAUUGCCAGCUUCACGGGUCUGGUGUACAAAGCCCUCAAAGCUCUUCGUAUCAGCACUCACUCACUCCAUUGAGUAUUCCAAAAGUUGGUCUUGUUAUAUUCUCCAGCACUACAAAACUUUAUGAAUAUGCAAACACAAGGAUUAUUUUUUUGGACUGGUAAAGACAAAAGGAGUUGACUAGUUAUUGUGGCACAGUGUAUAACAACUUCAAAUGGCAUCUCAAAAUAAAGGAACUAAGCACAGGAAGACAUGAUGUGAUGAAGAAAAUAUGUUCCAUACAUAUAUGACAUGGGAUGAGUCUUACAAUGACUUUAGUUAUGUAAAUGUAAUAUUUUGAUAUGUUCUGUACUUUUUGAGGUAUUACAUGUAAUUGGAUAAAUUGCAUUCUAUUUUGAUUUGUGUUGUUUAGAGUAAAAAUUAAACAUAUGUAUCUUAUAAUGAAACUUUUAUAAUUUAGAUUUCUUGAGUUUCUUA
Molecule: non-coding RNA, 897 nt
Organism: Arachis ipaensis
Lineage: Eukaryota; Viridiplantae; Streptophyta; Magnoliopsida; Fabales; Fabaceae
Source: RefSeq, a predicted model, not a curated record